GACGAACGCUGGCGGCGUGCCUAAUACAUGCAAGUAGAACGCUGAAGAGAGGAGCUUACUCUUCUUGGAUGAGUUGCGAACGGGUGAGUAACGCGUAGGUAACCUGCCUUGUAGCGGGGGAUAACUAUUGGAAACGAUAGCUAAUACCGCAUAACAAUGGCUGACACAUGUCAUUUAUUUGAAAGGGGCAAUUGCUCCACUACAAGAUGGACCUGCGUUGUAUUAGCUAGUAGGUGAGGUAAUGGCUCACCUAGGCGACGAUACAUAGCCGACCUGAGAGGGUGAUCGGCCACACUGGGACUGAGACACGGCCCAGACUCCUACGGGAGGCAGCAGUAGGGAAUCUUCGGCAAUGGGGGCAACCCUGACCGAGCAACGCCGCGUGAGUGAAGAAGGUUUUCGGAUCGUAAAGCUCUGUUGUAAGUCAAGAACGGGUGUGAGAGUGGAAAGUUCACACUGUGACGGUAGCUUACCAGAAAGGGACGGCUAACUACGUG
Molecule: ribosomal RNA, 497 nt
Filed under: uncultured bacterium
Lineage: Bacteria
Description: partial 16S ribosomal RNA
Rfam family: Bacterial small subunit ribosomal RNA
Source: RNAcentral